GAUGAACGCUGGCGGCGUGCCUAAUACAUGCAAGUAGAACGCUGAAGGAGGAGCUUGCUCUUCUGGAUGAGUUGCGAACGGGUGAGUAACGCGUAGGUAACCUGCCUGGUAGCGGGGGAUAACUAUUGGAAACGAUAGCUAAUACCGCAUGACAACAGUUAUUGCAUGAUAACUGUUUAAAAGGGGCAACUGCUCCACUACCAGAUGGACCUGCGUUGUAUUAGCUAGUUGGUGAGGUAACGGCUCACCAAGGCGACGAUACAUAGCCGACCUGAGAGGGUGAUCGGCCACACUGGGACUGAGACACGGCCCAGACUCCUACGGGAGGCAGCAGUAGGGAAUCUUCGGCAAUGGACGGAAGUCUGACCGAGCAACGCCGCGGGAGUGAAGAAGGUUUUCUGAUCGUAAAGCUCUGUUGUAAGAGAAGAACGAGUGUGAGAGUGGAAAGUUCACACUGUGACGGUAUCUUACCAGAAAGGGACGGCUAACUACGUG
Molecule: ribosomal RNA, 495 nt
Filed under: uncultured bacterium
Lineage: Bacteria
Description: partial 16S ribosomal RNA
Rfam family: Bacterial small subunit ribosomal RNA
Source: RNAcentral